UUUCAUUGUUCUUAGUUCUUGAACAAGUCUUCAACAUAGAUUCAAAAUUUAAAGAUUCAGAGUAAGUUAUACAUACUUUCAGUUUAUAUUCUUGUUAUUUCACUAUCAAUAUGAGUAGUUAAAUUCUCAAUUGAGGUUGUGAAACCCAAUGAUAUUCUAGAGUUCAUAAGGUUCUCGUAUGAUAUGUUUCUGGGGUUGUUAGAUAUCAAACUUCUUUUUGUUCAUAAUCAAAAGGUUUAGUGGUUGAAAAUAUUAUUCUAUGUCAUAAUUUCUUAAUCUACAGACAUGGAAGAGGGAGUUAGAAUUUGGUGAAAAGAAAUUUGCAUGAACUCAAGAUGUAAAACCUUGUUUGAUAAACUCACAUUAAGAAUAAUAGGGUGUGUGUUUUGCAUAAGACAUACCAUACUCCUAAAGAGACUAUAAAACCUCAUGUUUUAAAAUAUUCUCUUGCAGAAGAGGGUAAAGCAUAGUAUCAUGGUCUACCACCACACCUUAUCCACUCAUGGAAUGAUCUUGUGAACAUUUUCUUNNNNNNNNNNNNNNNNNNNNNNNNNNNNNNNNNNNNNNNNNNNNNNNNNNNNNNNNNNNNNNNNNNNNNNNNNNNNNNNNNNNNNNNNNNNNNNNNNNNNNNNNNNNNNNNNNNNNNNNNNNNNNNNNNNNNNNNNNNNNNNNNNNNNNNNNNNNNNNNNNNNNNNNNNNNNNNNNNNNNNNNNNNNNNNNNNNNNNNNNNNNNNNNNNNNNNNNNNNNNNNNNNNNNNNNNNNNNNNNNNNNNNNNNNNNNNNNNNNNUUUCCCUAAAGUGGUUCUCUUUCAGCAAAAAAACCCAUAAAGGACAACAUAUUUCACAUCCAGCAAAGGCUUGGGGAACAACUAAUGUGAGCUUGGAAAAGAUUUAAACAGUUGUUUUUCAAAUUAUUUAAUCACAUAUAUCUGAUGAAAUAUUGCUUGUGAAGUUUUACUUGGGUUAGAUGCAGUAAAAAAAUUUGUAACAAAUAAUGUGGCUGCAGGGUACUUUAUGGACAAACAUUCACUCAAGCCACUGAGUUACAAACUAUAGCUUUGAAUGGCACUCAAGAGAUCAAAGGUAUGAAUAUUCUGACGCAUCUCUUUCACUAACGACUUUAUUUAAAGAAAACAUCAGAAAGAUUGGUCGAUUGCCAUGAUGGUUGUAAAUAAUGAUGUCACCAUUAGAAAGAUCCCUAAAAGUAGCCUACAAAUAUGUAGAAUAAGCAAAAUAGGCAAUACAAAUCCUAUCCAUGCUAAUAAGUUUUAAGUGAUGAAGUUUAUAGGUGGUGUACAUAAUCAUAACCAACAACUCUAUUACCAUGUCGAUCUUCAACAUAUCGCGUGGGAAUCUAAGAAAACAAUGAUCAAAAUCUAUCUCGACACUUCAAGAUAGUCAUGACCCGAGACUACUCCCUAGUCGUAACAUGAUUCUUAGAGUCACAAGUGACCCCAAUCUAACCCAUAGCCUGGAAUGAUACUAAUAAUAAUGAAUUAACUGAUAAAAACAUGGUGUGGAAGUUGUAUUAAAUGAGGAAAUAAUAAUCAAGACCAACAAUAAUACUGAGUUUAAAACCAGAGAGUUGAACAUAUAACUAUAUGUAUGAAAUCCUAUACUAAGAUGAGUUGUUGGGACAAGCCCCGAACUAAGUCUAUCUAUUUGAAAUUGAAAUAAAUAAAAAUAAAUAUUGAUACUAGUCCUCAAAUGAUGGUGACAUGCCAAAGAUCUAUUGGUGAUAUAGUAGUAGAUGAUACUAAGUCUAAUCCCGUUGUUGGGCGUUAGAACACAUAUUAUAAGACAAUAUAGCAUAAAAGAAUUUAUAUGGUCAGUACUUUUAAUAUACUGAGUAUGUGCGAUAGGAAAUAUCUACUAUAGGCUGAACAUAAUGUACGUAGCAUGGUAAAUUUAUACAACAUUAUAAGCAUAUACUGUAUUAUAAGGUGGAUAAUUGAUACAAGGUCAUGCUAGAAAUUGAAUUUGAAAUAAUGGUUGUGGAUUGUAGGAGCUACAAAUAAAUGACAUACCCCAAUUUGAGCUUGCUAGGGUCCAACCUGUAACCUCAUCUAGAAAGGUAUUAAAUACUUAGCCAAGGGUAUGAACGCUACUGACGAGGAUCCACUAAACGGAUAUCCGAAAAGACUAAGGUGCCAAGCCUGGUUUGAUAGGUAACCAUUAGAACCAUUGGUGGCAUCUUAGCUCUAUGACUUAUGGACUUCUGCUAAAGGUAUUAGCCUAACAGAAAGGUAAUCCUUCACACCUGCGACUGCUCGGUGAUAAUACUUCUCCUAACUUAAAGACACAGAUACUACAAUGCUCAAUAAUAAUAUUCUAAUGAUCAAAAAUAAAUUCAUUAUCUGACAUAAUUCAAAAAAAUAUGAAUAUAGGAUAUAAUUCUCAUAUGUAUAUGUAUAAAAUCCUAGGUCCUCGAGUAUUCAUAAAUCCACCAUCUUAAAAGAAUGAACCUACUAUGCCAAUUUGAUGAACAAAGUGAAUUUAAGAAAUUUAAUAACUCAAGUCCAAUAAUCAAGGAUUUCAUAAUAUAAUUAGGUUUAUGAUUUGAACAUUUCAUGGUACCAAAAUUCAUGCUAAACAUGGGUUUACAACUUAAUGGUAUCAAUGAACUACAAUAUUAAGAAAUUCAAAACAUUCAUAAAUCCUAAGAUCUAAGGAAGGAAUUAAAAUGAGGAAUUGAGAUUCUUGUGACUCAAUGGGUGAAAGGAGAACUACAAAUUAAAUUUGACACACCUAGAGAUGGAAAUAAUAUUGAAAUCUUUGAACUUGGAUCUUGAAAGAGAUGAACCCUAGAUUACCUUGGAUGAAGAAGAAUUAUUUUUUUUGUUUGAGGCAAAAUUUUGAAUGAGUUUGGGUAUUGAGGGAUAUAGGGUAAUAUUUAACUUAGUACUCAGCCUUGGUGUAACUUAAACAAUGUAGUUUUGAUGUUAAAAGAUUUGAAAAAGACUUAUGAUCCCCUUUAAAGUCAUAACUAAAAUGUUGCUGGAUGGGGCGUAUGAGACCUUCCCAUGAUCAUGAGACCUAUGCACAGUUGUGGGUGGUGUUCUUGGUUGGAAUAUGGAUUUGGUAUCUUUGAACUCCACUAAUCGAGCAUUGGUAUAAUAAUGAGACCCACCUAUGAUUGUAACUUAAUUCAUAAGUUAUUGGUUGUUAUCCGAUGAACUUUAUAAGUCACGUUCUUACCUAAGAUAAUUGUUUCUAACCAUGGUCGUGGUUAUUUAUCAUGGAUGUAAGGUAUACUAGUCAAGUUUUAGAUGUUUGGGGUUGUAUCAAUUAGUUUCAAGCAUUGUAUGGCCGUACAAUCUCAACACGAUUGUACCUACGCUCGUAUGUUCUCAUUAUUCGGCAAUGCUUCACUAAAAUAACCAUAACAUCUUACGUCGAUAUUUGGUUAAGGUGAAACUACAUGAGUUGGAAAGAUAACUCAAAUAUCUAUUAUUUUCUAGAUCUUAAGCUCCAAAAAACUCUAAAAUCUAGGAGUUUUUCUCAUUUGAAUUUGACGAUAGAGUGAUUCUUCAUAAGAAAUGAAUCGGUAAGGAAGGCUUUGAAUUGGCCAUGAUCUAGGAGUUACUUGUGGCCUUAAUCUAUAUAAAAAUCACUUCCCCUAUAAGAAAAACAUGAUGUUCGAAUUUAUAUAUACUUGAAGCAUGGUUUUAAUCUUAGCUUGGAUUUUUGGGGUGUUGUAAUAUCUCCUACUUGGGGUUAUUUGUCCCCGAAUGAAAACUUACUAAGAAGAAAUGUGAGAGAAAGAUUUGAAAUUCCUACACUAAAUUUGUAAGAGCUGAAUAUUGACAUGAUAACUGAGUCCUUAAUUGAAACAUGGACUGAUCCAAACUCAUGAAUUCAUGAUAUGAUAUGAUAAUAGUUGGGUGAGAUAAAACAAAAAUAAUUUAUUAAUUAAGUAAAAAUUAUUACCUAAAGCAGGGACUGAGUUCAGUGGGAAAAGAUGGGGAUACUUGGUCAUCAUAUCUACCUCCACUUUCUAAGUAUCUCUCUUAACUGAUUAUUUUAGACAAAGUGACCUCUUUAUGUCCCAACUAAUGAACCUAACAAUCAAGGAUCUCAACCAAGACCUCUUCAUAAGAGAGACUAUUUUUAAAACCCACACUCUCUAAGGUCCCAACUGAUGUUCAGUUAGUUGAUAACUCUAACACAUAGGGAACAAUUGCUAAAAUGACCCACGAUCUCAUAAGGACUAACAUAUUAGGGACUGGCCUUCCCCUUCUUACCAAAUCUCUUCACCCCUUUCAUCAGUGAUACUUUUAAGUACAGAAAAUCACUAUUAGCAAACUCAAGUUCCCUUUCCCUCAUAUUUGUAUAGGAUUUUUUAUGACUCUGAGCUAUUUUAAGCCUUUCGUUAAUCAACAGAACUUUCUCCAUUGAAUCAUGCAAUUAAUUUGAGCCUAUUAAGGUAACUUAACCAACUUUAAACCAACCAAUUGGAGAUGUAAACCUCUUAUGAUAAAGUACUUCGAAUGAGGCCAUCUAAAUACUGAAAUGGUAGAUUUUAUUAUAAGAAAACUAAAUCAACAAUAAAUAAUCAUCACAACUAUCCUUGAAAUCAAUCACACAUGCUCUUAAUAUGUCCUCUAAGGUUUGAAUGGUCCUCUUUUCCUUCUAGUUUGUAUACAAGUUAAAAGUCAUUCUAGGAUGAACUUGGGUACCAAGAACCUUUGAAAAUGUGUUUCUAAACCAAUUGCAUACCACUGAGUACGUCUAUCAUAAAUAAUUAAUAAAGGGACUACAUACAAUUUCACAAACUUUCUACGGUAGACUUUAGCAUAGUACUUGGCUAAAUUUGAAGUGUUAAUUGGCAAUAAAUGGGCCAACUUAGUCAUUCAGUCCAUCAUAACCGAAAUAGAAUCAUGUUGUUAAUGAUUAUAAGGCAACUCUAUAACGUAGUUCAUAUUCAGCACUUCCUACUUCCAAGAAGGAAUAUUGAUACCCUAAAGCACACCAUCAGUUCUUUAGUUCUUAACUUUAACCUACUGGAAAAUUGAACACUUAGCCAUAAAUUCCAUGAUAUCUUUUUACAUGCCAUUCCACUAAUAGACAUCCCAUAAAUAACAAUUCCUUAGUAGCUUAUAGGUUAAUAGAAUAUCAAGAAUUAUGAGUUUCUAUUAGAAUAUUCCAUCUUAAGUCAUCUAUAUUCAGAACACAUAUUUUUCCCUGAUAAUGAAGAACACCAUCUCCCCCUUAGAGAAAACCUUAACCAUCUGAUUUUGUCCUACUUCUUUUAAACCAAGAAAAAUAAGAUCACUAGCUUUAUUUUCUUUCACACCACCUAUUAAAAAGGAUUCUGAACCACUAUGAAUCAAGAUAUUUCCCUAAGCUAAAUCAAAAAAUCAAAUCCCUAAGCAAGAAAGCUGGUGAACCUCAUAAAUUAACUCUUUCUUCUCAUCUUAUGUAUGAUCAAAACUUUGCAUAGAAAACCUACUAAGAGUAUUAGUCACCGCAUUGGCUAUUCUUGAAUGUUAUAAGACACUCAUAUCAUAAUUUUACAACAACUCUAGUCAUCACAUCUGAUUGAAGAUUAAUAUCUUUCUUGUUGAACACAUACUGAGCACUUUUGUGACCAGUAAGUACAUAAACAUGGACCCCAUAGAGGUAAAGCCUUCAUAUCCUUAAGGCCAAAAUAACUAUUGUUAACUCAAGAUCUUGAGUCAGGUGGUCCUUCUUAUGACAUUUGAACUGUCUAGACACAUUCAUUAACCUUGCCAUGAUGUAUCAACACACAACCAAGUCUAACUCUACAAGUAUCAUAGUAAGCCAUAAAACUAUAUGAACCCUCUGCUAGAGUCAAAACUGAAGUCGUGGUGAGUCGAGUCUUCAACUACUAAGAACUCUUCUUUUAUGAAUUUGACCAUCAAAACUUGACUUUCUUUCUAGUUAGUCUGGACAUUGAAGAAUCAAUAGAGGAAAACCCUUUCAACAAACCAUCUAUAGUACCAAGAUAAAACAGAAGAAAAUUUAGAUAUCUAACGGGGAGAUGAGUCUAGGCUAAUUUUUAACUUCUUUGGUCUUUUUAGGAUCAACUCAAAUGACUUCAACAUAAAUGAUAAUACCAAGGAAUGCUACUGAUUUCCAACAAUAUUUACACUUACUGCACUUAGUGAAUAGUUGGUGAUCAUUUAGAUUCUUCAAGACAAACCUAAAAUGGUUAGCAUAUUCAUUAUUACACUAAGAAUAAAUGAGGAUGUCAUCUAUAAAGUAAAUGAAAAAUAUGUACAUGUACUUCUUAAAUACCAUAAAAGCCAAAGGGGAAUUUGUUAGUCAAAAAGAUAUAAUAACAAAUUCAAAGUGACCAUACUAAAUUCUGCAGGUUUCUUUAGGAUGUCACGUUCUCUGGCUCGAAGUUGAUGAAAGUCAAAUCAUAAGUCAAUCUUAAAGAAAUAAUCGGCACCCUAAAGAUGGUAAAAAAUUCAUCAGUCCUGAGAAUAGGGUACUUACUUUUUACUAUGAUUUUGUUCAACUAAUGGUAAUCGAUGCAUAUUCUGAGAGAACCACCUUUCUUGUGCACAAAAAGAACUGGAGCACCCCAUGGAGAGACACUAUGCCUAAUUAAAACUUUUUCUAGGAGAUAUUUCAACUAUUUUUCAAAUCCUUAAGCUUUUUGAUAAAGCCAUCCUAUAGGGUGUAAUUGAAAUGGUUAGAUAUCUAAAAUAAGAUUCGUUUCAAAGUCUAUUUACCACUCAUGAGAAAUUCCAAGCAGAUCUUAAAGAAAUAGUUUAGAAAAUCUAUUUACUAUUAGAAUUGAAUCAAAAUUUGGGGUUUAGGACUUUGAAUGCUUAACAUAAACAAGAUGAUAGAUGCACCUUUUGAUAAUUAUCUUCCUUACCUGAAGGUAAUAGAUGAACCGACCUAUCGAUACCGAAGUACUACCACUUCACUCUAUCAAUGGAUUAUUUGGAAAUUAAAAUGUAACUACUCUAUUACUACAAUCAACUAAGUCCUAUAAAGGGGAUAUCCAAUCAAUGCCAUGAAUAACAUCAAAAUAUAUUAUGUCUAACUCUACAAGAUUGAUUGAGGUGACUUUCUAGGAAACUGUGACUAUGCAAUUUCUAUAUAACUAUCUAGCUAUGACUAAAUUACUUAAUGAAGUAGAGACUGAGAAGGGUUCUAAGAGGAUUUCUGUAUUUACAACCAAGACUACUGUUAUAUAGGGUGUCAUGAAGGAAAGUGUGGCUCUGAGAUCUAAUAGUGAAUAAAUAUAAAUAUGAAAGACUUGUAACAUAUUAGUGACCACAUUAGGAGAAACUUCCUAACCUUUUAAGUUUGAAGGGCAUAGAAGCUAUUGUGUUAUUAUUCACUAAUUUCACUAGAUGGCCUACCCUGCUGAGUCAGGCGAUAUGCUGGAGCUAUUGAAGGGUUAGACUAACUUUACUAAUGAGCAUCCCUACCUUUCUGUGAAGCCACUGCAUAUUCUCUUAUGUUGUGGCCUAGCUUGACACACCCAAAACACAAUCACUACAAAUCAUACACAGACCUUUGUGGUUCAUACCAUAUUUAUUACAAAUCAAAUUAGUUCAAACACUAUUAAUUCUACCAUGGGACAUUGAGCAUAGAAAUUUUCUCAAUUAUCCUACCUAACCUUAGGAACUAGAGCACUAGCACAAAAUAUGGAUGAAGUAAAUAUUUUUAGCGAGACUGAGAAUGAUUACCACUAUUUAGCCUUUGUUGAUAUAUAGAAUAACUGAGUAUAAGGUCAUGCAAGUAUGUAAAUUUUAACUACGGAUUUUGGACUAUGGGAGAGACUAAUAACAAACAUAUGCAAUCUAAGAUAAUUAAGGUCCAUCUUAUAAGCCCUGUUGAAAGGGUGUUCAGUACCUUACUAAGGGUACGAAUACUUACUGACAUAGAUCCAGUAAACUUAUGCCCAAAAGGACUAAGGUGUCAAGCCUUGUAUGAUGGGUUAACCUUUAGAACCUAUGAUGGAACUGUAGUUCUAGUCCUUAAGGACUAGUAAAGGUUUUAGCCUAACAGAUGGGCAAGCCUUUAUCAUGCGUUCUCUUAGUUCUAAAUAUUACUUCCUUAUAAAAGACACUAAUAACUACAAUGCUUAAUGAUAAUAAUAAUUUGAAGACUAAAAAUAAAUGCAUUAUCUAAAAAAGUUAAAAUAUGUGUGAACUAAAGGAUAUAAUACUCACAAGUAUAGGCAUGAACCCCUAGGUCAUCGGUUGUUCAUAGCUCACUAUCUUUGAACAAUGCACUAUUAUUCCAAAUUUAUGAAUUAAGUGAAAUUAAAGAAUUUAAUAACUGAAGUCCAAUAAAUAUGGAUUCAAUUCAUGUUAAACAUGGUUUUAUAACUCAAUGGUAUAAAGGAACUAGAAUAUCAAUGAAUUCACAACAUUCAUGAAUACUUUGAGGAAGGAAUUAAAUUGAGAAAAUGUGUUAUCUUUGGGACUCAAUGGGUGAAAAGAGAUCCACUGAAAAAAUUCCACAUUCUUGGAGAUGAAAACCUUGGAGAUAUCUUUGAACUUAAAUCUUGAAAGUGAUGUACCCUAGUUUGCCUUAUAGGAAGAACAAAUAUUUCUUAUCUCCAUUUAAGGUUAAAUAUCGAAUGAAUUUAGGUAAUAAGGGUCUUAGGGUAGUAUUUAAAUUAAUACCCAGCCUUGUUAUAACUUAAAUAAUUUAGUUUUUAUGUUAAAAAGUGGUAAAAGACUUAUGUGACUCUUAAAUUCAUAACAAAAUAACUUCUUGAAGGAAUAUACGAGACCUUCCCACAAUCAUGGGAUCCAACUAUAAUCAUGGGUAAUGUUCUAUAAUGACCUGACUUUUUGUGAUUUGUGUGACAUAAUUAUUUUUAUUUGAUUAGAUUAUGUUAUCCCUCCCUAUGGUUGCAUUAUAGUAUUUUCAGGAUGUGUGGAUGAUUGGUAUAGUUCUCUAAGUUUUUUGAUGUAAUUUAUGCAAGUUUGUAGUGUUUUGUGGCUUUAAAAGCCAUAUAGUUGUCUUUGGUCAACAUUUAUUCACUGUGCAUUGGAUGGAAAAAUAGAUUGUACAAACAGAUUUAGAAUGUCAAUUUUUUAUAGAAAACAUGGUUGGUGUGCUUUUAUUCUUUUAUAUCUCAUUUUGACCUUCGGUUUGGAAAAUUGUGAAAUUGGAUUUUAGAGGUCAACUCUAUGGAAAUGGCAUCUUUUGAGAAAUUUGAUAUCGUCAUUGAGUAUGAAUCAUUGAAUUUAAUAGGGUAGCAUAGUCUGUUUCCAUUUGUAAGAUUCUAAAUGAAUUAUGAGAGGCCCGCGAAGACUUGGAAUUCUCCAAGUCUAUUGCUGGUACACCCGCUAAAGAGAUAUUUUUGUUGCUUAAUGACCCAGCCGAGUAUCUGAGAUGCUGCUUUUGUGAUUCUUGCAUGGCAUACAUGACCUUCAAUUAAGCAACAAGAGGAUUGCUUCUAUGACAUUUGCUUAAAGAUGAGGUAUCGCGAAAGCAAUACCUAGUCACAUAAGUGAUGGUCGCUUAAGCGACUCGGUGAUUGUGUAUGUGAUGCCUAUAUCAUUUAAAUAAUCCAUUUUGCGAUUUUUAUACUAUUUUUUAGAUUUGGAGGUUUUCAAGUUUUUGAACAUUUUCUUCCAUUUCUAAGCUUGGGUAAGUUCCAAAACUCCUAUUUCAAUUACUUUUCUCCAGUUAUAUUAUUCAAAUCUUGUUUAAACUUAGAAUUAAAGAGGAAAUUUUAGGAUUUUGGGCUAAAGGCCAAAAAUUAGUAUUCUUUAAUAAAAACCCCAAUUUCAACUCCUUUUUCUGUUGUGUUUUCUACCAUGAGUUCCUUUAAUCUUGGGAAACAUGUUUUUUGAUAAAAAAUUUGAUUUUACCCUUCAUUUUCAAACAGUUGUCUCGAGGGUUCAUUUUGAUCCCAAUUCAAAAAUGGUCAAUAUGGGUUUCAUUGGGUUUUUUAUGCAUAUAUUCUAUACUUGUAUGUUUUUGUUGAUUUCGGGGUCGUUUAAGAGGGGAAAACUUUGGAUUGAAGGGUUUUUCAAUUGGUUUUUGGCAUUCAAGGUAGGUUAUGACUUAAAUUUCUUCAGACUUAGCUGGGUCAUUAAUAAUAAUAAUAAUAAUAAUGUAAAAGCAUCCUAUGAGUACGGGAUUGUAUAAUGGAAAAAGUGUUAGUUGAUUUAUGUAGCCGUGUAGGGGUCUAUAUCGGUGAUAUUUGGUGGUUUUGAGUCAUUACUUGCCAUGUGUACCUGUGUGGUAUCUUGUAUAAUGUUGAUUAUCUAGUAUUGAUAUAUGUAUGUUUUGUUAUAAUCUUUUUGGAUGGAAAAAUCCUAGAUCUUAGAAUUAUUUGGUAUCAAUGACAUUUUCUUACAUGUUUCACUUGAUUAUUUCUGGAUUAUAUUGAAUUAUGGAUAGUUUAUUGAUUUGGGUUGUUCUUAGCUCACAUGGUUGGUAUAUUUAUUGGAUAUUAUAUAUUCUCAUUUUGGUUUGAUGUGGGAAUUUCAUCAACAUAUUAUAUUCAUUCAUGAAACAUUGUUACCACCAUUAAAAUACUAGAAAUAGUGGAUUUUUUGGAUAGAAAAUGUGACAUGCUUAAAAACCAUCUAUUAAUGAUGUUUUGGAGAGGAGUUAUAGAUAUUGGUGUUAUAUAUUGGUUGUAUAUGGGUUGAAAAUACCCCAAGAGACUGAUAGGUAUGGGUUGACAAACCCUUCAUGGGUCCAACUUUGAUCAAAGCUCAGCAGGUGUAUACAAAAGUUGUGUGAUGACAUCUUGCAUCAUCAUCAUCAUCAUUACCUUAAUUGCCUUCAUAUUAUCAUGCUUAUGUUUUAAUUAUAUUUCUAUAUUUAACUUAAUAUCUAUCAAUCUAUUUUAUCUUCCUAUACUUAUAUUUGAUGUACGUGUAUAUUUAUUCUUCUUUUCCCUGCAUGUAUGUAUUAUAUGUCUGUAUAUUAAAACCUCAAAUAGAGAUGGUGUGGGCUACUAUUUGGGAUAUUUUUUAUUGCAGGAGAUGUGCCCAUAGUUUGUGUUUAUAUGCUUUAUUUUCUACUUUACUCAGUCUACCUAUGAUACCUAAUGAGUGAAAGUGGACCAUAUUCACCACUACUAUUCCCUUUUGGUGUAGAUCCAGGUAUGAAUGUGCCAUAUAGAUAGCUAAUUUGGGUAACAUUUUGGAGUAUUGGAGGCAGUUAAAGUCCUAUGCUUCAGGAGUUUUCCUAUUUCCUCUUCCUAUCUAUUACAUGUCUUAUUUUGGUAUUCAAAGAUAAAGUUUUGAUCCUCUUAUGUCUAUCACUAUAUCAUACUGCAUUUAAGAUGUAUUUAGUAGUUUUUAAACUAUGACACCAGAUUUUAGGAUUUGGUUGGUAUCUUUACUAUAUUUCUGCUUUUACUAUAUAUUUAUGGUUUGACUCUAUUCUAGGGGUCUUUCCUUGGUUUUUGUAUUGAUUAGUAAUUUUUUAUCAGUUUACGCAAUUGGCUUACUAUUUGAGGCCUUUUGCAACAAGUGCCAUCAUGACCCUUGGUUUUUGGAUCUUGAAAAAUUAGUAUCAGUGUAGUCGAGUUCAGCGGUCUCAUCAGUGUAAGAAUAGGAUGUCUAAUAGGGGCUCACAGAUUGGUAUGUAGAUAUUCGUAUAUAUCUUUGAGUGGCUAUAGGAUAUCUUUCGAAAACUCUUCUUAGUUAAAUCUAUAUUAUGCAGGUAUUUCAUACCUUUUGUUCUAAAUCAUAUUUCACUUUUUUCUGUGCAUAUGGUGAGGACUAGAUCCAGUGAGGCUAGAGAUAUAGAUCCAUUAUUUGAAUGGAGAGCCCAGUCUAGAAGUUGAGCUAUGAGUCUUGGUUGGGUUUGAUGUAGAUUACAAUCACGAGGAUCUACCUCAUCUAUAGAUAGCACUAAGGACUCUUCCCUAAGCCUCAAGAUGAAUAUAUUGGAGAUACAGGCCCUACUGAGCUCUUCUACCCCAGUCAUCGAGGAGUUACUGGUUUGUUUUCUGACUCAUUUGGAGGGUGCUUCUAGGAGUUCACCUGGUGUUCCUUUAGCUCCGAGUAUGGCACCUCUAUCUUUGCUAGAGUCUACUCAUAUCAUUCCUUCAGUAUCGACUGUGGAUCCUCUUAUUUCUUAGAGUACUCUAAUGACUACGAGUGUGGUUCUCUCUCUAGUGCCUAUAUCUGAGUAUAGUAUUUUGAGAUCUAGAGUUCAUACUUCUUCUAUGAUGUGUCCUCAGGUGGGUUCUCAGCCAACUAGAUUUACUAUGCUUUCCUAUUAUUACAAUUACACCAUGUCUUCUGGAGAUCAGAAGAGUAUUAACAGAUAUACUCAUUUGGGUCCUCCUAGAUUCAGUGGUGCUAUAGGUGAGGAUUCCUAUGAGUUCUUGAUGUAUUACUGUGAAAAGUUACAUAUCCAUUAUUUGAUCAAGAAACAUGGGGUUGCUUAUUAUUCUUACUAGUUGAGAGAUGCAACCAGAGAUUUAUGGAAGAUACUUAGUGGUUGCCAACCUCUUUGUUCACCAAAGAUUAUUUGGGAUUAGUUACAAAGGACUUUUUAGAUAGAUUUGCUCCUUUUAGUUUAGGGAUUAGAUGAGAUAUGACUUUCAUUGCUUGGAGCAGUGCUCCAUAACUGUUGUAGAGUAUGAGGCAUGUUUGUAUGCCUUGUUUAGAUAUUUUUAUGCAAUUAUUUCCACCGAGUAUGAGAAGAUUUAGAAGAUCUUUAAGGAGUUGAAUGUUUCUCUUCAUCUUGUUAUGACCUAAAUCGUAGUUUAUGGAGCAUCGUUUCAAAGUACUGUGGAUCAUUCUAAAAUAAUUGAGUCUAUUCUUCAAGCAUCUCAUGGGGAUGAUAUGAAGGUGCAUCAUUUGGGUAAAUUCAGAAGUCACCUAUCUUGAGGUAGAGAUUCUAGAGGCUUUCAUGGGUAUUAAGGUAGACUGGUAAUAACAACCCUAUAUAGUUCAAGUAGUGGGUCUUCCAAUAUGGCAACUGCAGCUAGUCAUUCUAGUUCAGCCAUACCUUCUUCCAUUGAGCUAGGCCAUGGGGUUUCUUUAUCUGUAGUUCGACUGGGUAUAAGGCCAGGGACUGUUCCUGCCAUGUUUUUUGAGUUACUCAUAUAUCAAUUAUGAAAGGUAGAGGAAGUGGUACCUAUAAUGGUAGUCGUAGGGCUAUGUGGCUAGAUAUUGGACAUGGUCAAUGUUAUGUUAUACCUGCUAGACUAGAGGCGGAGGCCUCCGACGCUAUUAUUUCAGUUAGCAUCCCUAUUUAUUUCAGAUCGGCAUCUACGAUUUUUUAUCAAGGAUCGACUUUCUCCUAUGUGUCUUCAUAUUUUUCUUUGGGUUCUCAUUAUACUUGUGAUCCUUUUGAUUUGCAUAUUCAUGUAUCUACCUCCAUAGGACACUUUUUAAUGGUGGAUCGGGUGCACCAAUCAUGUGUUGUGGUUUUUGCUGGGCGUGACACCUGAAUUGAUUUUAUUGCAUUAUAUAUGGUAGAUUUUGAUGUCAUCUUGGGUAUGUAGUGGUAGCUCCUUAUCAUUUUAUCCUAUAUUGUUAUGCUAAGACCGUGACUUUAGCUUCAUCGCAUGUGCCAAGGAUAGCUUUAAAGAGUGUGCUUCAUUCGGGGCCCAAGAGAGUUAUAUUGUUUCUUCAAGCUCAUUGUUUAUUUGAGAGGGGGUGUUUGUCUUAUUUGGCUCAUAUUAAUGAUACUAGGUGUUAUUUCACCUCCCUUCUUAGAUUUUAUUCAUAUUGUUUGUGAGUUUGUGGAUGUUUUCUCUGCGGAUUUGUCUGGUAUGCCUCCAGAUUGUGAUAUUGACUUUGGCAUUGAUGUUGAGUUAGGCCCCAAGCCAUUUUCUAUUCCCCCUUAAGUAUGGCCCCAACUGAGAUGAAGGAAUUAAAGUAUCAAUUACACGAGUUAUUGGAUAUGUGGUUUAUCUGACCUAGUGUAUCACUUUGUGUGCCUGCCUUUUUCUAAAGAAAAAUGAUGGGUCGAUGCGUAUAUGUAUUGAUUAUCGGCAUGUGAAAUAGGUGACAGUUAAGAAUAAGUAUCCUGUUCCUCGUAUUGAUGAUUUGUUUGACUAGUUUUCGGGUGCUUCGGUGUUGUCACAACCUGAGAUUACCCCUUAGGCGUAACAUGAUGCCUAAUGGAACAAGUAUCCCCAAGAUAGCCCAUGAUCUAGUAUCUUCUGUGAGCAUUGAAUAAACAUCAUAUGUGGAAGCUAAACUAAUGAAAACUCCAAUAAGAUAUAAUAUUGAAACAAUACCCAACAUGUCUGAAUUUUGAUAAAAUUGGAAACAAGUAGACUAUCUGAAAGCCUCUAAACUUAGGGAUUUGAUGGGACAAACCACCAACUAACUCCUACUAACUAAAAUAAAGAACGUACCAAAAAUAACUGCAAUGGACAUUUCCCUCGAAGGAUGAGGACUCACCAUAACUAUGAUCGGGUGUCACCCGAAAUGACUAAGGGCGAUCAGGGAACUUAGGAUCCAAACUUAUGUUAUAAGAAAAUCAUAGCACAAAAGAGAGUAUGUAAUCAGUCCUUUGAAUGUACUGGUACAUGAGAUAGGGACAACUGAAAUACAUAUAAGUACUGAGCAUAAAUUCAUGAAUACGUAAAAUGAAUGCAAGACCAAGUAAAACAUGUGCUGAAAUAAUCUGUAAAAAAUGCAUAACUAAUUAACUAUUAAACUGGGCCCUUGGUCAUGCAAACCUGAGAUGACAUAGUCUAAAUACUGAACUGGGACUGUGGGAGCUAACAUUUAAUGGACAUGCCCAAAUCUGAGCUAAUCGAUGUCCAUCCUAUAACUGCAGUUGGAAAGGUGCAAAUACCUUGCCACGAGUAGUGACACUAAUGGUGUGGAUCCGCAAAACUAUGUCCCAACGGACGGCGUGUCACCCUAAACUUAUAGGUGCCCCCAGGAGAGUAUCAACACUAAGCUGGCAGGAAAACCUCUGAUAACCUCUACUGGCUAUGUAUUUCUGGAACAUAGGGACAACUACUAAAGUUCUCACCCUAAGUUUGAAUAAAAGGCUUCAUUCCUAAAUUAGCUCGGUGCUAAGUUGUACUCAUAACUAAACAUACACAGAAGCAUAAGCUAGUACAUGCACUGAUAAUAGAUUUGCUCAAAUAUGGUAUUCUGAGAAUAACAAUGCAUGCAUAAUCUAAAAUAAUCAUGAUCAUGUUAACUGAUGUAUUUAGCAUUAUAUCAUACUAGUGAGUGCUCAUACUGAAAAAGUUAUAAAUUUUAUGUACAAACAUUGUCUGAAUAACUUGAAAUCCUUAAAACUGUGGCACACAUGAUCAUCUAGGUAUUAUGUGUUCGUAAGCCACCGGCAUUUACAAUACAAUUUAAACACGAUAUCUUCCAAGUAAUGACAUGAUAAGAAUUUUCAUAACUUAAACUAAUGAAUGGAACAAUUUCAUCGAUUUAAUGAAUCAUCGUUAUUAGAGUACGAAAGAAUACUUGAAAUUAUGAGGGAACACUGUUUCAUGGUUUAAUUUAGAAAUUACAAAGAGGAAUCAUGGAAUUUAUAAUUGUCAUGGAAUCCUAAAUUAAAAGGGAAACUAAAAUUGAAAAUUAGUGAAAACUUUGUGACUCAAUGGGAGAAAAGAGCCUAUUUAUGAAUAUACCACAUACCUGAGUUGCUUGAAUUCUUGAAGGGAAUUUGAAUUUGAGGACUUGGGAGUGUGAAUUCAUUGAAGAGAUAUUUUGAUUUUGGUGUUCUUUAGAGUGGAAGGAGUUUGAAUGUCGUUAACUUCUGAUGAAUAGGGCAUAUAAUGUCACCUUUGGGAUUAUAGUUGUGAAUUGGGUGCUUAAGGAGAUGAAAGGGACAAAAAUGCCCCUUUAACUUUGAGGAAGGUUGUCCGAUUUUACACUGCUGCGUGGCAUGGUACCUUUUGCAGAGGCCAGCCUCUGUGACAUGCUGCCUAUUAUGGUGGUUAACCUCCUGAAAAGCUAUGUAUCAUGGAAACUAACCUCAAUGGAACAUUGAAAAUGCAGAGGCAUACUACCUCCGUGGUCCAAAAUCACCCCAAACCCAUUCCAAAAUUUCAAAACUCUCAUGGAUGACCCUUUUAGCAUUCCUAAAUAUAUUUCAACUCAUAAAUUAAUGUUUUAAGCACAAGAAUUCCAAAAAUCAAAUACUAGAGAUCUUGGGGUGUCAAAAUGUCCGUGCAACUUGUACUUACAGUGAAAUAAUUGCUUUGGAGACCUUUAAACAUAUGACUAAUAACUUUGAACUUAUCUAGGAUCUUGUGGGGUAUUACAAUAUCUCUCCCUUGGGAUCAUUCAUCCCAGAAUGAAACUGUCCGACUGAGAUACUAGGAAUACAGAGAUCAUGCACCGAAUAAUUAUGAGCUGAAUCAUGAUUAAAUAAUUGAGUCUGAAACAUAAUGCAUGGAUUAAACUGAAUUUAUGAAUGCAUGCUAUGACAUGAGGAUGGUUGGAUAACAGAGAUAGCAUACUAGAGAAUCAAUUUAAGAGAAACCAUUACCUCAAAAUGAAUCUGUAUUUGUAGAGAGAAGAUGGGGAUACUUGGCUAACAUAUCGAUUUCUCUUUCCCAAGUAGCUUUCUCUACGGACUAAUUUCUCCAUAGAGAUUUAACCAAGGAGACUUUCUUAUACCUCAAUAUACGAACCAGAUAGUCAUGGAUUUCAACUGGAAAUUCUUCAUAGAAGAGGCUAUCUUUCACACCCACACUCUCUAAAGGUACGACUGAAGCUGGAUCACCAAUACGUUACUUUAGUUAGGAGAUAUGAAACAGUAGGUGCACUAAUGCUAUCUUUACAGGUAACUUUGACUCAUAAGCUACCUUCCCAAAGUGACUCAAUAUCAUGUAUAGGCCAAAAUAGAGGGGUCUGAGAGUGCACUUAUUACUAAACCUCUUCACCCCUUUCAUGGGAAAAAAUUUCAAAUAAACUAAGUCAUCAUCAUCAAACUCAAGAUCUCUUCUCCUCACAUCAGCAUAGGAUUUCUAUCGACUUUGGGCUAUCUUUAGCCUUUAUCGAAUCAACUAAACUUUCUCCAUCUCCUGAUAUAUUGAAUUUGUCACUAUUAAGGCAGACUCACAUACUUCAAACCAACCAAUAGGAGAUAUUACCUCAUUCCAUAGAGAGUCUUAAAUAGAGCUAUAUGAAUACUGGAGUGAUAUUUUUUGUUAUAGGUAAACUCAAUCAAAGAAAAGUGGACAUACCAACUACCCUUAAAGUCUAUAACACAAGAUAUCAACAUAUCCUCUAAGGUAUGUAUAGUCCUCUCUACCUGAACAUCUGUCUUAGGAUUAAAAGUUGUACGAGAUAGAUUUGGGUACUAAGACCCUUCUGAAAAGCCUUCCAAAAAUGAGAGCUAAAUAGAGUAACUCUAUCUAAGAUGAUGGUUAAUAGAACCCCAUGAAAUUUUACAAAAUCACUGAGAUAGAGUAUAGCAUAAUCCUCAAUUGAAUACAAAGUGUGAACUAGCAAGAAAUAGGCUUACUUGGUCAUUCUAUCUACAAUAACCCAAAUUGAUUUAUCCUGACGACGCAUACAAGGUAGCCUUGUAACAAAAUCCGUGUUAACAACCUACCACUUCCAAGUGGGGAUGCUGAACUACUGAAGCGUACCACUAGUCCUUUGGUGCUCAACCUUAACCUACUGAUAAUUCAAACACUUAUCCAUAAAUUCUGCAAUAUCAUUCUUCAUACUAUUUCACCAAUAGACUUCCAAAUCAUGGUAUAUCUUCAUGUAUUCUAGGUAAAUAGAAUAUCAUACAACAUGUUCUUCUUCUAAUAGUCAUUAUCUUUAACCGUCUACACUUAAAACAAAAAACCAUCCUAAACAACGUAGCAUACCAUCUCUCUCUUGGGAGAUAACCUCAACUCUCUAAUCCCGAACUGCCUUCUUCAACUUUACUAAAAUAGGAUCCCUAUCUUGCUUUUCCCUUGCAGCAGAAAUAAGGGAAGUCUCCAAACCAUUCUUAACCCAUAUACUACCUUCAUUCGAAUUAACUAAUCUAACACCCAACCUAGAAAUUUGAUGAACAUCACAGACUAACUCUUUUUUACCUUCCUCAAUAUUAGUAACACUUGCCUUAGAAAAUCUACUAAGGUCACCGGCCGCUACAUUGUCCUCAAACAGGUGAUACUACACACUCAUAUCAUAGUCCUUCAACAAUUCAAGCCACCUUCUUUGAUGAAGAUUUAGAUCCUUCUGAGUGAAAGGAAACUUUAAAAUUGUAUGAUGCAUGAUCACGUCAACAUAAACCCUAUAUAGGUAAUGCCUUAAAUUCUUUAAGGCAAAGAGAAUUGUUGCCAACUUAAUAUCAUGGGUAGGGUAAUAUUUCUUAUGGGGUUUAAGCUUCCUAAAGGCAUAGCCUAUGACCUUACCUCACUGCAUCAAUACACAUCCAUGACCAACUCUAAAAUAAUCACAAUAAACUACUAAGCCAUAUGAACCCUCAAGUAUAGUCAAUACUGGAGAAGAAGUGAGUUGAGUAUUCAACUCCUGAAAACUCUUCUUGCAGGAAUCAAACCACUAAUAUUUGACUUUUUUCUACGUUAGUCGAGACAUGGGAGAAGCAAUAGAAGAAAAUCCUCUAACAAACCAUUUGUAGUAAUAGGCUAAACCAAAGAAAUUUUUUAUAUCAGUUGGAGAGAUGGGCCUAGUCCAUUUUCUCACUGUUUUGGUCUUUUGAUGAUCAAAUCGAAUUCCAUUAUCAAAAAUGAUGUGACCAGGGAAUGCUACUGACCUCAACCAAAAUUCACACUUGAUAGACUUAGUGAAUAACUGGUUAUCCUUAAAGGUCUGCAAUACAAUUCUCAAAUGCUCUUCAUGAUCAUAUUUACAACUAGAAUAGACAAGGAUGUUAUCUAUGAAAACUAUGACAAACAUGUCCAUGUUCUGCUGGAACACCCUAUUUAUCAAGUCGACAAAAUCUACAGGAGCACUCAUUAGUUCAUAAGACAUAACUAGAAUUUUAAAGUGACCAUAAUAAGUUCUGAAGGUUGUCUUCAGGAUGUCACAUUCUCUAACUUUAAGCUAAUGAUUGUCGAAUCUGGGAUCUAUUUAUAGAAAUAGCUUACACUCUGAAGUUGGUAAUAUAUGUCAUCAAUCCUGGGGAGAGGAUUCUUAUUUUUAAUUGUGACUUUGUUUAACCGAUGGUAGUCGAUACAUAUUCUAAGGGACCCAUCUUCCUUACACACGAACAGAAUUCAAACACCCCAUAGAGAAAUGCUAGGCCUGAUAAAACCCUUAUCUAAAAGAUCUUUCAACUAUUUCUUCUAUUCACUAAGCUUCACUAGAGCUGUUCUUCUAGGUGAAAUUGCAAUAGGCUGGGUAUCAGGGAGGUGAUCUAUUCCAUAGUAGAUUUCCCUCAAGGGAGGAACUCCAGGAAAAUCCUUAAGAAACACUUUUGGAAACUCAUUCACUAUGAGAACUGACUCUAGACUCAGAGUUUUACAAUUUAAGUCCUUAACUAAGAUGAGAUAGUAAAUCCAAACCUUGGAUAUUAUUUUUCUUACCUUAAGAUAGGAGAUAAAGUGACCUAUAGCCAAUAAGGUACUAUCCCUUUAUUUUAUAAAGGGCUCAUUAGGGAACUCAUACUGGAAAAUUCUAUUUCUUCAAUCAACUGAGGCAUAGCAUGAGUGGAGCCAAUCCAUGCCGAGAAUUACACCAAAAUCAAUCAUCUCUAAUUCUACAGGGUCUACUAAGAUAACUUUUUGAGAUAUUGUGAUCGGCAAAUUUAUAUAUACCAAUUCCAAGAGUAAAUUACUAUGGCAUUAUAAAAUGAUAUCGUCUUACCUGCUAUAGCUUGCAAGUAAUGUCAUUAGCCAACACUUAGGGGAUUCCCAUGUACCCCACAAGAUUUCAAAUUAAACAAAAACCAUUGCCAUAAAGGACUUUUCCAAACCAUUUAAAUCCAACCAAACCAAUUUAAGUUCCAUUACCAUAUUAUGCAAUGCAAAGAAUUCAAGAAUAGUCAAACUAUAUGACAAAAUUAUCCUCAUUGGCAUUUUAACAAACAUGUUAAGGGAAUAUAGUUUCCAAAAUAAAAAAUCAUGUGGCAAUUGACCAUUCCCAUGCAAUCACAUAUUCAAACCAUAAUUAUAAUAUGAAAACCGUAAGAAAAACAUGGGAAAAGAUUAUCCAACCAAUAACAACCAAAACCACUAAUGUGCAUUUAAAACUCAAAAUAAAUCCAUAAUAACACCAUUAAAACCAUUCAUUAAAACAGGCCUUAAGUUUAACUAAUAAUGAGGGAGGAGUAACAUGCCUUAGAAAAAAAGGAAGAAAGACAGAAACCACCCCUUUAGAGCUUUAAUUGAUUUUGUUGAAGAAAAUCUUGGCCUUUCUUAAACCAGGAGCUUAAGAGAGAUUUGAGAGUAUUUAGACAGUUUUUUGAAUAAGAAUAAUAGGUUAAGAAAACCUCCAAAGGUGUUUUAUGUUGUGGGUUUAAGAGAAAUUAAAAGGCUCGAUACCAAGAAUACCCCCAAAUUAAACUAUAAAAAAGAACAAAAGAGGGUACGGUUGGACCCCUCAACUUGUAUCCACAUUAUACGAGUGAAACCCUCUACUCAUAUAUUGAUCCGAAAGUUAGACACCACAUUCUGUCCAACAUACGACUCCUUAGCCUAAAUUGUACCAUCACCAUACGACAAGUACCCUUCAUAGUGUACACUAAGAAGGACAUCAAGGCUCGAAACUGUACAACAUAUGGAUGGACACCAUACCCCUCAUAUCAUGAACAUAUGACUCGUCACCACCAACCCAUAACCACAAUAAAAACUCAACCACCAAGUACUUGACACCCUACUAGUUGGUCACCUGACCCGUACCCACACUAUACGACUAAUAUGGCAAGUUGUAUGAUGAUCUAAAAGCUCAAGAGUCGCAAAAUUUGCAAGGGCUAGAACCCAAGGUGUUUUAAUUCACCCCACUAUGAUAAUUCAUCCUUGAAUGGUGGAACAAGGAAGUACAAGAAUGAUUAAACACCCCAAACAUCUCUAAUCUCACCUUUAAUAUAGAAAACAAAACACCAGGGAAUUCACUUUUUUACCUUUAACAGAGACAGAUAACACAGAACUUAAGAAUCAACACGUACCUUGAGCAUAAAUUUUUGAACCGAGAAUAGGAACGGAAACUUAAACUUCAUCUCUUUUUCAUCAUUCCAUGUAGCCUUUUCUAUUUUGUGGUUCAUCCAUAGAACCUUUAUCGAGGCCAUAUCCCUGGUACGCAACCGAUGAACCAUAUAAUCUAAGAUCUCAACCGACAUUUGUUCAUAAGAUAAAAAAUCAGAAAUAUUAAUAUCCUUGACAAGAACAAUGUUCGAUGGAUCACUAAUACACUUCCUUAAUACAGACCCAUAGAAUACUAGGUGAAUGGAGCACAAGCUAGUAGGCAACUCUAACUCAUAUGCAAUAUUGCCAACCUUCCUCAAAAUCACGUACGUACUAACUUACCAGGGACUGAUCUUCCCCUUCAUCCCAAGCCUCAUAACUUCAUUCAUGGGAGACACCUUCAAGAAUACCAUAUCCCCAACCUUAAACUCCAACUUCCUUCACUUUACAAUCUCAUAGGAAUUUUGGAGACUUUGGGUAGCCUUAAGCCUAUCUCGAAUCACCUUCAACUUCUCCUUCGCUUGGUGAACCAAUUCCUGGCCAAAUAUAUCCGCCUCACAAAGCUCAAACCACCUAAUAAUAGACUUACACCUCCUACCAUACAAUGGCUUAUAUAGAGAAAUCUCAAUGCUAGAGUAGUAGCUAUUAUUAUAUGCAAACUCUACAAGAGGUAGGUGCUCAACCCAACUACCACCAUAGUCAAUCACGCAAACAUAGAUCAUAUCCUCUAAUAUUUAAAUGGUCCUUUCUUCAUGCCCAUCUGAUUGUAGGUGGAGAGAAGUACUAAGAAUCACCUUGGUCCCCAAACCUUUCUAAAAUAACUGCCAUAAGUGAGAUAAAAACUGCAUAACACAAUCAGAGAUGUUAGAAACAGGUAAACUAUGCAACUUUAUAAUCUCUUAGAGGUGCAACCUUGCAUAAUCCUCAGUAGAGAAGUUAGUCCUUACUGGAAAGGAAUGAGUAGACUUUGUCAUCCUAUCCUCAAUGACCCUAACCGAAUCAAACUAAUUCAGAGACUAAGAAAGAUUGGUAAUAAAAUCCAUAUUAAUCACUUCCCAUUUCAAAAUAGGCAACUUAAUUUCUCCAUACAAUCCUCCAGGUUUUAUGUUCUCAACUUUCACUUACUAGCACACUAUGCAUGUAGCCAUAAAAUUAGCCAUAGCCCGCUUCAUAUUGCUAAACCAAUACAUCACCUUGAGGUUAUGAUACAUUUUCAUCAAACCAAGAUUAACAACAUAGUGUGACUCAUGCUUCUCAACCAAAAUCCUCUCACAUAAACCAUCUACAUUAGGAACAUAUAAGAGUCUAAGAGGCGAACUCUAAGGUUAGCCAAACGGUGAAUGUCCUUCACCAGCACCCGCUUCCCUUAAUCCACAUGCACUAUACUCUCCAUAAAUAACCUGUUAAGAGCAUCAACAACCAUGUUAGCUUUACCUGGGUAGUAGUGAAGACUAAUAUCAUAUUCUUUGAAAAUCUUAAGAUAUCUACUUUUCCUAAGGUUAAGUUCUUUCUUAGUAAACACAUGUUGCAGGAUCGUAUAAUAAAAAAAGAUAUCAACAUACACCAUAUACAAAUAGUGACAUCACACUUUCAAUGCGAAUACCACAGCUAGCAGUUCUAAAUCAUGAGUCAGAUAGUUCUUCUUAUGCACCUUUAACUAUCCAUGACACGACCUGACCUUGGGCCUUGUCAUAAUAACUAUCUAAAUUCAAACCAAGAUCAGGGAUGGCCACCUAUUACCCUACCCAACCACCUAUAUCUAGCCUUAGAUGAGGUAAAUUUUGAACAUAUAACAAAUAGGAUUAUUGUUCCCAUUAUGACUCUGGGAUAGGGUCACAACCAUGACCGAUCCAAUCGAGUCCAACUAUACUACAACAACCGCCCAAUCAUACCAAACCAAACCAUAGACCAUUAACCAAAAAGGAAUACUAAAACAUAAUAUAAAAAUCAAUCCCAAAAUAUUGUAUGAUGGAACGGUAAGGAAUAAUGUCUGAUGAUGCCAACCUCAAUAUUAAUACCAAUUCUAAGGCUGACACCUCUAACGAUACCGCCCAUACCAACCCCCAUAAGUACCACAAAGACUCUACCCAGAUGAAUUAAUAAAUUUGAUUGGGACAUGCCUCCAGCCAUGGUCCAAACGAAAAUCCAAAAUAAAAGAUAAGUGUUUAAAUAAAUCCAUAACAUAAAAUUAUGCCUUCCGAAAGGAAGAAAGCUCACCACUUCAGUCCAAAUGCUCAUACCAAAUUUGCAUACUAAACAGGACAAGUAGAAUGGUUGGUUCUUACAUAGUGUAGGUGUACAACCACUAAUAGAUAGGGUUAGCAAAUUAUUGCUACCAUAAAUCUAAGGAUAAGGAUAAAAUAAUGUCACUCAUAAAACCAAGUAAAACCAUCCAUAAUGCAUGCAAGUAUACAUAUAAAGAUGCUGGAAAGGGAACCAGGUUUAGCAUGAAUUUAAAAUAUUUACCUGGGUUGUAUAGCUUUGUCAUCCUAACCACCGACCGACCAUAUGGGUUCAACCCACCUGCUGAGAAGGACCCAGUAAGUGUAGCUGCAUAGCCAGGGAAUAUCCCAUAGGAUGAAUAGUACAUCCCCUAUAUAAAAUUAUAAAAUAUGACACAUGUACAUGGUCAUCAAUACCCCUUAUAUCGACAACUAUGAGUUUCUAAUUUUUUUCCUCCUAAGACCACCACCUUCCACGGCUUAGCUACAUACCCCUCCAUUGAUACCCAAUUAAAACCAUGUCCAAAAAUUCUAUUUACAAUUUAUUAACCAAGGACAAUAUUAGUGGUAUCGUCAUACCACCCCAUUACUUGCAAGUAAUAUCCAUAGCUAAACUAUUUAGGUUAAGGGGACCUUAGGUGCCCUUCCAAGUUUCAUAUUAAAUCUAUUUAGAAGACUUCCAUGUUCUGCAUAAACUUAGCAAUUUAUCCUUUAGCCUUUUUAAAGCAUUUUAACCAUGCAUAAAUCAUUUAUCCAGUUUAAAACAUGAAAGAGUUGUAUUGAAAGAAGUUAAUGCAAUGAACUUUUCGUUAUAAGUUUUUUAUCAAACACCUUGUGGGUAUAAUAUAACCAAAACCAAUUCAAAAGACUCUUAAACCAUUACCAUUCAAUCCAACUAUCCAAAACCACCAUUAAUGAUAUCAGUCUUGUAAACCAUGCCUUUAAAUAAAAUUACAAUAAUGGAAGGGAAUCAUGUCUUAUACCGAAGAAUUGAUGAAAAUAAAUAGCCAAAGAAAGCCCCAAAGCAAUUUGUACGAUGAAACCCUAGCCUUUUUUCCCUAAAAGCUCUUGAGAGAAUUAAUUAGAUAUUUUUGAAUAGUUUCUAAGUGUUAAUGAUUAAAAUAAUAGGGUAAAUAACCUCCUAAAUACAUUAGAAGUCAUUGGUCCUAGUUAAGGUGAGUAGGGAAAUGUCAAGAAUAUACCUACUUAAGUCCCUUAAAAUCUCAUCACAAGGAUACGACUGACCCAUACGAAUCAUACCCUCCGAUACGAUUGGUAUCCACCAUUCGUAUCCAAGCCUCAACCCUUGGAUCAAUCAUUGUCCAGUAUAUGACUCAUCCAACAAAGUCGUAACCACAACAUAUGAUUCGUACCCAUGACCAGUAUCCCUAGCAGAAUAAAAUACUAGGAGGAUCAAACAUUUCCCACUAUAUGUGUAACACCCCAUAUUUUAGGCUACAAUAUAGACCAUGAUUCUGAUGGAUUGAUAAUCUCGAAGCCAUAAAUCCUAUUCUAAUAUGGCAUAUUAAUUAUUUGCAUAGUAUGUGAAUCCAUUCAUACUUGAAUUUAGACCAUAGAGGUCCUUUGACUCAAGGACGAGUUGAAAACUACUUCGAUCGAUUAAGUUUAAGCGGAUAUUAUAAUUUAUGUCAAAUUAUAUCGACCAUUACUCUUUGUAUAUGUCGAAUUAUAGAGCCUACUAUGAGUAAAAUGAUAGGUUUUUGAGUUAGCUUUCCAACGAUACCAAUUAUUCAAAAAUCCAGCACUCGAGCAAGAAGUUAUGGCUUUUAAAAGUAGUAUGCAUUGGUUAACCAAUCGCGCAUGAACACUGAAAAGCAUAUGCGGAGCCUAUGUAAACAUAGGCGAUAGCAUUGGCGACGCCUAUGUGAAUAAAGGCGAUAGCAUAGGCGGUGCCUAUCUAAACAAAGGCGAUAGCAUAGGCGGCGCUUAUGUAAAAAUAGGAGAUAUCAUAUGCAGCAUCUAUGUAAUAGUUUCAAGUGACUUAAACACUAUGUUUUUGGGGAAAAAUGGUCCUUUUCCCACCCUUAUUCAGCCAUAAAAAAAAAAUCCAGUCCUCAAUUCUCCAAAAUACAUCCACAUUCAUCUAAAAAUUCUCAAGAACAUUCCCAAGGGUUUCAAACUAAAAACCCAAAUAACUCAAGAUUCAACUGUGGGUUUUCAAAAUCGAUUAGAGAUUUGGAAUCCCCAAUCCACAGGCUUCAUGAAGCACCCAUUAUUUUCCGAAAUAGAGGUACGUGGGGUUUUCCUAAAUUCUCAUGGGCAUAGAAAAAUCAUGUUUUAGAAUGGGAUUUUUGAAUCUAUAUAUAUUCAUGUAUUAAAUAUUUUAACAUUAUUUUUUUGAUCUUUUGACCUUCCCCAAAGUGAUUAGACAAUAUGAAUGUAUGAAACCAUGUAUUUAAGAAUUGAUUCUUGUUGAGAGCAUGAUUUUUGGUGAAUUCCCUCUUAUUAUAAAUUUUUUAGAUUUCUCAUAGCAUAUGAAUUGUUUUGCAAUGCAUCCUUGAAAAACACUAUAUGAAAUAAUUGAACUAUUGUUAUAAUUUAUAGGUGGUUUUAAAUCACUAAAGAGGGAAUCUAGCAUAAAUAUUUAAUGUUCAAGAUGUCUGUAAUGAAAGAGCGCAUGGAUUUGCUAAAGGCACUAGACCACCAUAUGUUGAUGAAGCUUUUUGCAUGAUUUUGACUUGAGUUUUGAAACAUGAAAUAUUCUAUAUCAGUUGCAUUUUUUUGGUGGUCUAAAUUAUUCUUUAAAUGAAAGAUCUAGCUUAAUGUAUUAUGAAGAUACCAAUUUAGACCAAUGCCAUAUUAGACUCAGACUAAUAGACAUGUCAUACUAUCAUAAUUUUAGAUAUUUAGAAUAUUGCAUGUACAGAAAAGGUUAAAAAUGGGCAUACAAAUAUGUUAGGUGGUUCCAUGAAGAAGGAUUGAGUUCAAGCAACUCAUUUCCUAAAAUCGUGGUUUGCCGACCUAGGUAUAUUAUUAUACGCCGACUUAAGUGUCGUAUGGUGUAUAAGAUUUAGGAACUCCAACCCUUGUGGCAUACUCAGGUUGGAGGCUUCCCCGCUGAGUCAAUGGCAGAUUCCAUAUCUCCCGUAGAAUAUCAUACUUGUAGGGGAUACCACGUAAUUCAAAAGUAAUACACAGAUUAGAGUUUGAGAUUUACAGAUAGGUUACAUGUUUUCAAAAGAUGCCCAUGUGUUUUUAAAAACUAUUUUAUGCAUUAUUUUUGAUGAAAAUUUGCUCUCACGUAUUAUAUAUAUAUACAUAUGUUCAAUUACUCUAUUUUGGAUUGCUUCAUGUUCAAGUAUAAUUGUGCUGACCCCCCUCCUAACAGGUUCUGAGGCAAAGUCUAGGGGUCUAGAUAAAUAGUAGAGAUUUCAGAUCACAGACCAGAGUUUACAGUGGUGAGCCUUCUAUGAUUCAGAAGGCCUGGUUAUGUCAUAUUACUACUAUUAAUUAGGUUUUGGUCUACUGGGCCUUAUCCCAGCUCUCAGACAACUUUGAUUUGUUCAUGGUAGAGAGUUCGUAGACUGAGUCAGACAUUAUUAUUCAGAUGUAUUUUGGAUUUCAGUUUUCAAUAUUAUGAUCACAUUCUGAUUGACUAUGUUUCCGUAUUAGAUUUCUCUUUCCAUAUUACCUUUUGUCAUAUGAAUUAUGUGCAUGAUUACCAGAUAGAUAAAGAAGGGUGUUUUGGGCCUUUAUGGUUUGGGAUGCUCAUCACGGCUAGGGCCCUAGCUCAGGUUAUGAAAAACUUACGAAAUCGCAUCGGGUAUAGUCUUGGUUAUGGGUAUGUAGCACACCAAACUUAUAAGAAAGAGGCUAAUAGGCAUUUAGGAAAUAUUUUCCUUCUUUGUGAUUUAGUUCAUGCUUCAGAGUCUGAACUGUCCCCUAAUCAAUGAUCUCUUGUAUUUCAGAAACACAGUUAUGCCUCCAUGUCGUAUCAUCAAUAAGAAUGCUCAGGAAGAUGAGGUCCGUCCCACCUAUGGGAUGUGGACUCAUAGUAGAGCUCACCCUCCAAACCUUGUCCCUACUCUGGGAGUCCCUCCAGUCCCGACUAGUCCACUUCAGGCUCUGCGGACUGAUGACAACUGUCCCUCAACUACUCAGAGAGAUAUUUUAAAUGCAGAAUUCAGAGAAUCUAUUCAUAUUCUGACAUAGUUGGUAGCUAACUAGGCUCAACGAUUAGAAGCUGUUGGGUCUACAUCUAUUAUAUUUGAGGCUACUAGGGUUGGACAUUUCAUGAAAAUGAACCCUCGUAAGUUCACUAGCACCAAGGCAGAGGAAGAUCCACAAGAGUUUAUGGAUGAGAUGGAAAAAGUCUUUAAGGUAAUACAUGGGGAUAAGGUUAAAGGGGUGGAACUAUAAGCUUAUAGCUUAAGGGUGUUGCAAAUUAGUGGUAUGGAAACUGGGAGGAUGCAAAAGGUGACAGUGCUAAGACCACAGUUCGGGUAGAAUUUGUGGAACCUUUCCUUAAUCAAUUCUUUUCUCUGGAGUUGAGGAAGGCCAAAGCGAAAGAGUUUAUAAAUCUGAAGCAGGGCAGUAUGAGUGUCCAGGAGUAUAUUUUGAAGUUUAAUAAACUAGCCCGCUAUACACCAGAGUUGACUAGUAAUAUGAGAGCCCAGACAAGGAAAUUUGCAUUCGGCCUUUCUGAUAACCUAGUGCUUGAGUGUCAGGGGAAAUGUUUAAUAAGGAGUUAGACUUUGCUAGGCUGACCAUUCAUAUACAAUAGGUAGAAGAGAAAAAGAAGAAGAUCUCUAAAGCUAGAGAGGUGGAAAGACAAGCGAAAAGAGCAAGAUCAGCCGACUAGAGUCACAUUCAGUCUUAGGGCAGUAAGUGGGGAAAUAAAUGGCAAAAAAAGAAGAAUUGGGGUAAUGCGCAGUCUCCUGCCAGCGCCCCAGUACCCCGACCACCAGCAGACAGAUGAUCUUAGAGUUUUUAGACUAACCCUGGAACCAGAUAUUAGGAUACUUAGUCCCAGGGUAGUGUGUCUCAGUAAUAUCAUACUUUUCCGUGGUGUGAGGCUUGUGGUAUAAAUCAUCCUGGAAGGUGUCAGUUGGGCUCGUUAGUGUGUUAUUCAUGUGGUCAGCUAGGUCACUUUUAGAGGGAAUGUCCAUCAGCUAGAAAGAAUGUUAGUGGUGUUAAGUCUUACGCAAAUUCUUUGGCACCACCCUCGCCUUGGAAGGGCACCGCAUCAGCUGCUGAGAACAGUCGCAACCGGUUAUAUUCUUUGACCACUCGCCAGGAGAUGGAAGCUUGCCCAGAUGUUAUUAUGGUACGUUAUAAAUCUUUUCCAAUGAUUUUUAUGUGUUACUUGAUCCCAGAUCUACCUUAUCCUAUGUGACCCCGUAUGUGGCUGUUGGUUUAGGGUUUGAGCCCAAUGUGAUUUCUGAGCCCUUUUCUAUUUCCACCGUAGGGGAUACCACGUAAUUCAAAAGUAAUACACAGAUUAGAGUUUGAGAUUUACAGAUAGGUUACAUGUUUUCAAAAGAUGCCCAUGUGUUUUUAAAAACUAUUUUAUGCAUUAUUUUUGAUGAAAAUUUGCUCUCACGUAUUAUAUAUAUAUACAUAUGUUCAAUUACUCUAUUUUGGAUUGCUUCAUGUUCAAGUAUAAUUGUGCUGACCCCCCUCCUAACAGGUUCUGAGGCAAAGUCUAGGGGUCUAGAUAAAUAGUAGAGAUUUCAGAUCACAGACCAGAGUUUACAGUGGUGAGCCUUCUAUGAUUCAGAAGGCCUGGUUAUGUCAUAUUACUACUAUUAAUUAGGUUUUGGUCUACUGGGCCUUAUCCCAGCUCUCAGACAACUUUGAUUUGUUCAUGGUAGAGAGUUCGUAGACUGAGUCAGACAUUAUUAUUCAGAUGUAUUUUGGAUUUCAGUUUUCAAUAUUAUGAUCACAUUCUGAUUGACUAUGUUUCCGUAUUAGAUUUCUCUUUCCAUAUUACCUUUUGUCAUAUGAAUUAUGUGCAUGAUUACCAGAUAGAUAAAGAAGGGUGUUUUGGGCCUUUAUGGUUUGGGAUGCUCAUCACGGCUAGGGCCCUAGCUCAGGUUAUGAAAAACUUACGAAAUCGCAUCGGGUAUAGUCUUGGUUAUGGGUAUGUAGCACACCAAACUUAUAAGAAAGAGGCUAAUAGGCAUUUAGGAAAUAUUUUCCUUCUUUGUGAUUUAGUUCAUGCUUCAGAGUCUGAACUGUCCCCUAAUCAAUGAUCUCUUGUAUUUCAGAAACACAGUUAUGCCUCCAUGUCGUAUCAUCAAUAAGAAUGCUCAGGAAGAUGAGGUCCGUCCCACCUAUGGGAUGUGGACUCAUAGUAGAGCUCACACUCCAAAACUUGUCCCUACUCUGGGAGUCCCUCCAGUCCCGACUAGUCCACUUCAGGCUCUGCGGACUGAUGACAACUGUCCCUCAACUACUCAGAGAGAUAUUUUAAAUGCAGAAUUCAGAGAAUCUAUUCAUAUUCUGACAUAGUUGGUAGCUAACUAGGCUCAACGAUUAGAAGCUGUUGGGUCUACAUCUAUUAUAUUUGAGGCUACUAGGGUUGGACAUUUCAUGAAAAUGAACCCUCGUAAGUUCACUAGCACCAAGGCAGAGGAAGAUCCACAAGAGUUUAUGGAUGAGAUGGAAAAAGUCUUUAAGGUAAUACAUGGGGAUAAGGUUAAAGGGGUGGAACUAUAAGCUUAUAGCUUAAGGGUGUUGCAAAUUAGUGGUAUGGAAACUGGGAGGAUGCAAAAGGUGACAGUGCUAAGACCACAGUUCGGGUAGAAUUUGUGGAACCUUUCCUUAAUCAAUUCUUUUCUCUGGAGUUGAGGAAGGCCAAAGCGAAAGAGUUUAUAAAUCUGAAGCAGGGCAGUAUGAGUGUCCAGGAGUAUAUUUUGAAGUUUAAUAAACUAGCCCGCUAUACACCAGAGUUGACUAGUAAUAUGAGAGCCCAGACAAGGAAAUUUGCAUUCGGCCUUUCUGAUAACCUAGUGCUUGAGUGUCAGGGGAAAUGUUUAAUAAGGAGUUAGACUUUGCUAGGCUGACCAUUCAUAUACAAUAGGUAGAAGAGAAAAAGAAGAAGAUCUCUAAAGCUAGAGAGGUGGAAAGACAAGCGAAAAGAGCAAGAUCAGCCGACUAGAGUCACAUUCAGUCUUAGGGCAGUAAGUGGGGAAAUAAAUGGCAAAAAAAGAAGAAUUGGGGUAAUGCGCAGUCUCCUGCCAGCGCCCCAGUACCCCGACCACCAGCAGACAGAUGAUCUUAGAGUUUUUAGACUAACCAUGGAACCAGAGAUUAGGAUACUUAGUCACAGGGUAGUGUGGCUCAGUAAUAUCAUACUUUUCCGUGGUGUGAGGCUUGUGGUAUAAAUCAUCCUGGAAGGUGUCAGUUGGGCUCGUUAGUGUGUUAUUCAUGUGGUCAGCUAGGUCACUUUUAGAGGGAAUGUCCAUCAGCUAGAAAGAAUGUUAGUGGUGUUAAGUCUUACGCAAAUUCUUUGGCACCACCCUCGCCUUGGAAGGGCACCGCAUCAGCUGCUGAGAACAGUCGCAACCGGUUAUAUUCUUUGACCACUCGCCAGGAGAUGGAAGCUUGCCCAGAUGUUAUUAUGGUACGUUAUAAAUCUUUUCCAAUGAUUUUUAUGUGUUACUUGAUCCCAGAUCUACCUUAUCCUAUGUGACCCCGUAUGUGGCUGUUGGUUUAGGGUUUGAGCCCAAUGUGAUUUCUGAGCCCUUUUCUAUUUCCACCUUGGUGGGGAAUUCUAUUAUUGUUAGAAGGGUGUACAGGCGUUGUGUUGUGACUAUUGGUAGCUGGGAUACGUCAGCAGAUCUCAUAGAGUUAGAUAUGGUUGCUUUUGAUGCUAUCUUUGGAAUGGAUUGGCUUCAUUCAUGCUAUGCCACAUUAGAUUAUAGGACUCAAAGGGUUACUUUUUCUUUCCUGAAUGAACCAGUGAUAGAGUAGGAAGGAUAUUCUUUAGCACCUAGAGGGCACUUUAUAUACUAUCUUAGAGCCCGUAAACUCAUUUCUAAAGGUUGCUUGUACCACCUUAUCUAAGUUAAGGACUCCAAUGUCGAGAGUCUUCCUCUUCAAUCUAUUCCGGUAUUAAAAAAAUUCCUAAAAAUUUUUCCAAAUGAUCUCCCAGGAAUACCACCUGAUAGAGAGAUUGAGUUUGGUAUUGAUGUAUUGCUAGACACUCCUCCUAUUUCUAUUCCGCCAUAUAUAAUGGCUCCUACAGAACUAAAAGAGUUAAAUGAAUAGUUAGCAGAUCUCCUAGAUAAGGGUUUUAUAUGCCCCAGUGUGUCUCCUUGGGCCGCGCCUGUACUUUUUAUACGAAAGAAAGAUGGUUCCCUUCAUAUGUGCAUAGACAACCAUCAGCUGAAUAAGGUCAUGAUUAAAAAUAAAUAUGAUCUUUCUAGGAUUGACGAUCUUUGUGACCAGCUUCAGGGUUCCAAGUCUUUUUCAAAAAUAAACCUUCGUUCGGGUUAUCAUCAGUUGAAAUUUAGGGAGUCAGACAUACCCAAGACAGCAUUUCGAACCCGAUAUGGUCACAACAAAUUUCUAGUCAUGUCCUUCGGGUUGACUAAUGCCCCUGCAGCCUUCAUGGAUCUUAUGAAUAGAUUAUUCCAUCAGAUUCUUGACUUGUUUGUCAUUUUAUUUAUUGAUGAUAUUCGGAUCUAUUCUAAGAGUAAAGAGGAUCAAGCCAAUCACCUCCAAAUUAUUUUUCAGACCCUUAAGGAUGAUCAGCUGCAUGCCAAGUUUUCUAAGUGUGAAUUAUGGUUAGAUGCUAUUGCCUUCUUGGGGCAUAUUGUGUCUAGUGACGGGAUAAGAUUGGAUCCCUAGAAAGUUGAAGCAGUGAGAAAAAGGCCCAUACCUAUGACUCCAAUCAAUAUUUGGAGCUUUUUGGGUUUGGCGGGUUAUUACAGAAGGUUUGUAGAGAGUUUUUCUUCCAUAGAUUCUCCACUCACUAAAUUGACUCAGAAAAGGUGAAGUUUGUGUGGUCUGAUCUCUGUGAGAAUAUUUUUGAGAAGUUGAAAGACAAACUGACCACUGCUCCUAUUUAAUACCUUCCCGAUGGUAUAGAUGGGUUUGUGGUAUACUGUGAUGCAUCCUGUGUUGGACUUGGUUAUGUGUUGAUGCAGCUUGGUAAGGUAGCGACAUAUGCAUCUACGCAAUUAAAGGUGCACAAGCAGAAGUACCCCACCCAUGAUUUGGAGUUAGCGAAUAUGGUGUUUGUACUUAAGAUUUGGCGACACUACUUGUACGGUGUUCACGUUGUUAUCUUCUCUCACCACAAGAGUCUGCAGUAUGUUUUCUUGCAGAAAGAAUUGAACCUCAGGCAGAGGCGCUGGAUGGAGCUUCUGAAUGACUAUGAUAUGAGCCUGUAUUACCAUCUGAGCAAGGAAAAUAUUGUAGACGACGCCCUCAGCAGGUUAUCUAUAGGAAGCGUUUUUCAUGUAGAAGAAGGAAAAGAAGAGAGGGUGAAGGAUAUUCACCGCCAUGAAAAUAUGGGAGUGUGACUCUUAGAUUGCGAAGAUGGUGGGGUAAUUGUUCAUGAUUUAGCUAAGUCAUCCCUUUAUGCUAAAGUUAAGGAAAAGCAGGUUGAAGAUCCCAUCUUGAUGCAAAUCAAGAAAGAUGUGGGUUAACAAAAGAUUAUGUCGUUUAAAAUUGGUGGUGAUGGUAUUCUUAGAUUUUAGGGUAGGUUAUGCGUUUUGAAUGUUGAUGGACUGCGUGAAAUAAUCCUUGAUGAGGCGCACACUACGAGAUAUGUUAUUCACCCAGUCUCUACUAAUAUUUACCAUGAUCUAAAAACCUUGUAUUGGUGGAAUAACAUAAAAUAUGAUGUAGCUGAUUUCGUGUCCAAGUGUUUGAAUUGUCAACAAGUGAACGUAGAACACAUGGGGCCAGGUAGUACUUCCCAAGAGAUAGCCCUGCCUUUAUGGAAGUGGGAGAUGACAAACAUGGACUUCAUUAUAGGACUUCCGAGAUCUCGAAACCAAUAUGUUUCUAUAUGGGUGAUUGUAGAUCAGUUGACAAAGUCAGCCCACUUUUUGCCUGUGAGGACUAAUUAUUUGGGAAAGGAUUAUGCUAAGAUUCACAUCGAGGAGAUAGUUUGGUUGCAUGGGGCACCAGUGUCCAUUAUAUCCAAUAGAGGUACGCAGUUUUCAUCUCAGUUUUGUAGAUCUUUUCAGAAGGGUUUAAGUACACAAGUGAAUUUGAGCACAACUUUUCACGUUCAGACGGAUGGGCAAGCUGAGCGUACUAUUCAGACCCUCGAUGAUAUGUUGAGGGAAUGUGUCAUUGAUUUCAAAGGUAGUUGUGUAGAUCACCUGCCACUGAUUGAAUUUGCUUACAAUAAUAGUUACCAUACCAGCAUCAAGAUGGCUCCUUUUGAGGCUUUGUAUGGGAGGAGAUGUAGGUCUCUGAUAGGAUGAUAUAAAGUGGGUGAGACUCAGUUGUAUGGGUCUGAUCUUGUUCAUCAGGUGAUGGAGAAAGUAAAUAUCAUUAGAAAUUGACUCAAGAUUGCUCAGAGUAGUCAGAAGUCCUAUGCUGAUGUUCGGAGAAGAGAAUUAGAGUUUGAAGUUGGUGAUUGGGUGUUUAUCGAGGUUUUUCCUAUGAAAAGAGUUAUGCGGUUUGGAAAAAGGGGUAAAUUAAUCCCUCUCUAUAUAGGGCCAUAUCAGAUUCUAAGGAAGAUUGGUGCAGUUUCUUAUGAGCUAGAAUUGCCUGCAAGUUUAGGUUCCGUUCAUCCAGUAUUCCUUGUAUCCAUGUUGAAGAAAUGCAUUGGAGAUCAUUCUUUGGUAUUGUUAGUAGAGGAUAUUAAAGUGACAGAUUCCUUGUCUUAUGAAGAAGAGCCCAUUCAAAUUUUAGAUCGCCAAGUUUGAAAGUUGAAGAGCAAAGAGAUAGCCUCAGUGAAGGUAUUAUGGAGGAAUUAGAAAGUUGAAGAAGCAACUUGGGAGUCAGAAGAUAACAUGAAAAUUAGAUAUCCCAAUUUGUUUGCUUCGAUGGAUGAUGAGACAGAAGGUACUAUUCCUAUCUUAUCUUUCCUAGUCCUUAUUAUUCUUUAAAUCGUGUCUAUCUGUGUCCCGCAUCAUCAUUCAGGGAUGAAUGAUCCUAGGGGGGAUAAUGUAAUGCCCUGCAUUUUGAGCUACAAUAUAGACCGUGAUUCUGAUGCGCUGAUAAUCCUGAAGCCAAAAAUCCUAUGCCAAUAUGGCAUGUUAAUUAUUUGUGUAGUAUGUGAUUCCAUUAAAGCUUGAAUUUAGACCAUAGAGGCCCUUUGACUCAAGGACGAGUUGAAAACUACUUCGAUCGAUUAAGUGUAAAUAGAUAUUAUAAUUUGUGUCAACUUCUAUCAACCAUAACUCUUUGUAUAUAUCAAAUUAAAGAACCUACUAUGUUUAAAAUGAUAGGUUUUUGAGUUAGCUUCCCAACGAUACAAAUUUUUCUAAAAUCCAGCACCCGAGCAAGAAGUUAUGGCCUUUCAAAGUAGUAUGCGUCGCCUAACCAAUUGCAUAUGGCCAUUGGAAAGCAUAUGAGAUAGCAUAUGCGGCGACUAAUUAAACAUAGGCGAUAUCAUAGGCAACGCCUAUGUAAAGAUAGGCAUAUCAUAUGCGGCGCCUAUGUUAUGGUUUCAAGUUACUUAAACACUCUAUUUUUGGGGCAAAAUGGUAUUUUUCCCACUCUUAUUCAGCCAUAAACACGAAAUUCAGUUCCUAAUUCUCCAAAAUACAUCCACAUUCAUCUAAAAAUUCUCAAGAACACUCUCAAGGGUUUCAAAUUGAAAACUCAAAUAAAGCAAGAUUCAACCGUGGGUUUUCAAAAUCGAUUAGAGAUUCAGAAUCCCUAAUCCAAAGGCUUGGAGAAGCACCUAUUAUUUUCCGAAAUAGAGGUACGCGGGGUUUUCCUAAAUUCUCAUAGGCAUAGAAAAAUCAUGUUUUAGAAUGGGGUUUUUGAAUCUAUAUAUAUAUUCAUAUAUUAAAUGUUUUAACAACAUUAUUUUGGUAUUUUGACCUUCGCCAAAGUGAUUUGAGAAUAUGAAUGUAUGAAACUAUGUAUUUAAGAAUGGAUUCUUGUUGAGAGCAUGAUUUUUGGUGAAUUGCCUCUUAUUAUGAAUUUUUUAGAUUUCUCAUGGCAUAUGAAUUAUUUUGCAAUGCAUCCUUGAAAAGCACUAUAUGAAAUGAUUGAACUCUUGUUAUGAUUUAUAGGUGGUUUUAAAUCACUAAAGAGGGAAUCUAGCGAAUGUUUAAUGUUCAUAAUGUAUGUAAUGAAAGUGUGCAUUGAUUUGCUAAAGGCACUAGACCUCCAUAUGUUGAUGAAGUUUUUGCAUGAUUUUGACUUGAGUUUCGAAACACGAAAUCUUCUAUGUCAGUUGCAUCCUUUUGGUGGUCUAAAUUAUGCUUUAAAUGAAAGAUUUAGCUUAAUGUAUUAUGGCUCAGAAAUCAUGACUUGCAAGUCUUGGUAUGACGAUGCCAAUUCAGACCAAUGCCAUAUCAGACUCAGACUAAUAGACAUUUCAGACUAUCAUGAUUUUAGACAUUCAGAAUGUUGCAUGUACAGAAAAGUUUAAAAAUAGGCAUACAGAGAUGUUAAGUGGUUCCCAGAAGAGGGCUUGAGUUCGAGCAACUCAUUGCCUAAAACUGUGGUUUGCUGACCCGGGUAUAUUUUUAUAUGCUCACUUAAGUGUCGUAUGGCGUAUCAGAUUUAGGAACUUCAACCCUUGGGGCAUACUCGGGAUGGAGUCUUCCUCGCUGAGUCAAUGGCAGAUUCCACAUCGCCCGUGGCAUAUCAGACUUGUAGGGGAUACCACCUUACUCAUAAGUAAUACACAGAUAAGAGUUUGAGAUUUACAGACAGGUUACAUGUUUUCAGAAGAUGCCCAUGUGUUUUUAGAAACUAUUUUAUGCAUAAUGUUUGAUGAAAAUUUUCUCUCACAUAUUAUAUAUAUAUAUAUAUAUGUUCAAUUACUCUAUUUUGGAUUGCUUUGCAUUCCAGUAUAAUUGUUCUGACCCCUCCCUUCUUCCAGGUUCUGAGGUACAGUCUAGGGGUCCAGAUAAAUAGUAGAGAUUUCAGAUCACAGACCGGAG
This 36281-nucleotide long non-coding RNA is filed under the name Capsicum annuum. RNAcentral's name for it is "long non-coding RNA (CANN_LNC021017)". Lineage: Eukaryota; Viridiplantae; Streptophyta; Magnoliopsida; Solanales; Solanaceae. The record is from RNAcentral.